ACUCGGAGCAGAUUGACUUCAUCGAUUCCUGCGUGGGGGAGGAGGAGGAGGAGGAUGGGAGGAGUCGAAGAGGAGGACGGGACAGCGCCAGCCUCAGCUCGCAGUUCAUGGCCUACAUUGAGAAACGCAUCACCAGAGAGGGGUCGCCAGUCAAAACCAGCUCGAGGACAGAAGACACGAGGAGACACAACAGGAGUGUGGUUGAUGGCGUUACAGCGCCCUC
Non-coding RNA from Plectropomus leopardus (leopard coralgrouper), 223 nucleotides. Lineage: Eukaryota; Metazoa; Chordata; Actinopteri; Perciformes; Serranidae. The record is from RefSeq and is a predicted model, not a curated record.